UAGCAAGUCGACCAAAGGCGAAAGCAGUCAUCAAGGGCAUACCCGUUGAUCAAGAGCGAAAGUUAAGGGUUCGAAGACGAUCAGAUACCGUCGUAGUCUUAACUAUAAAUGAUACAGACUAGGGAUAGGACACUGUCCAUCUCGACUCCUCCUGAAUCUUUGAGAAAUUACCAGUCUUUGGGUUCUGGGGGGAGUAUGGUCGCAAGGCUGAAACUUAAAGGAAUUGACGGAAAGGCACACAAAGAGUGGAACCUGCGGCUUACUUGUAGGCCGCCAAAGCAUCGCUUAAAGGGCUUUGCUAGUCACGGUCUAGACCGGGGCGACAUCAUCAAAUUGCGGGGAAGUCCUUAGAGCCAGCGUAACCAACCACGCGCCGAAAGGCGGAAAAAUACGGGGCGUUAAUACCUCUUUGAGUGGGGGAGUCGCCGUCGUGGGGCCGGGGUAAUGACCUUGGGUACGGUAAAAUCACGUUGGAUUGGAUCAUCCGCAGCCAAGUCCCUAAACGUAUUCGGAUUAGUCCGUUUACAGGGAUGCAGUUCACAGACUAAAUGGUGGUGGGUGGUAUGAGCGUUUUACGCCAUACUGCUUAAGAUAUAGUCGGGCCCACCCGAAAGGGUGCCCUGGGAGGAAGCCGAUCUAAUCGGCCCAAGCUCAGGGAGGUCGAUGGUAGCGAUACCGUCGGCUGGAACCUACCGUAAUUUGACUCAACACGGGAAAACUCACCAGGUCCGGAUACACGCAUGAAAGUCAAGCUGAAAGACUUUACUCAAUGAUGUAAGUGGUGGUGCAUGGUCGUUCUUAGUUCGUGGAUUGAUUUGUCUGGUCUAUUCCGAUAACGAGCGAGACCCCAGCGUUCCUAGUAGGGCCAACAGCCCGACCAGCCGCAAGGCUGGUUAGCUGGCGGCUUAACAUAAGCUUCUUAGACGCAUCAGGGCCGAUAAGGUCCUUGAAAUGGGUUAAUAACAGGUCAGUCAUGCCCUUAGAUGUUCUGGGCCGCACGCGCGUUACAAUGGCAUGUAAAGCGAGUGCCGGUUAACAUGGCAUAUCCGGGGCCGAAAGGCUCUGGUAACCAUUAGUCCCUGCUUAGACUGGGACAGAUCAUUGCAAUUAUUGGUCUCAAACGAGGAAUUUUUAGUAAGCAUAG
This 1144-nucleotide ribosomal RNA is filed under the name Fuligo septica var. septica. RNAcentral describes it as "partial small subunit ribosomal RNA". It matches the Rfam family "Eukaryotic small subunit ribosomal RNA", at positions 928 to 1626 of the family's 1831-position model. Lineage: Eukaryota; Evosea; Eumycetozoa; Physariida; Physaraceae. The record is from RNAcentral.